RNAcentral lists this ribosomal RNA (467 nucleotides) under uncultured bacterium. RNAcentral's name for it is "partial 16S ribosomal RNA". It matches the Rfam family "Bacterial small subunit ribosomal RNA", at positions 28 to 506 of the family's 1533-position model. The record is from RNAcentral.
GACGAACGCUGGCGGCGUGCUUAACACAUGCAAGUCGAACGGAAAGGCCCUGCUUUUGUGGGGUGCUCGAGUGGCGAACGGGUGAGUAACACGUGAGUAACCUGCCCUUGACUUUGGGAUAACUUCAGGAAACUGGGGCUAAUACCGGAUAGGAGCUCCUGCUGCAUGGUGGGGGUUGGAAAGUUUCGGCGGUUGGGGAUGGACUCGCGGCUUAUCAGCUUGUUGGUGGGGUAGUGGCUUACCAAGGCUUUGACGGGUAGCCGGCCUGAGGGGGUGACCGGCCCAAUGGGGACUGGGAAACGGCCCGGCGCCCUAGGGGGGGAAAGAGGGGGGAAUAUUGCACAAGGGGCGGAGGCCUAAGGCAGCAACGCCGGUGGGGGGAGGAGGGCCUUCGGGUUGUAAACCGCUUUCGCCUGUGACGAAGCGUGAGGAAGGGUAAUGGGGAAAAAAGCACCGGCUAACUACGU